GACGUGGGAGGCGAGCGUUAUCCGGAAUGAUUGGGCGUACAGCGCGCGUAGGCGGGCCGGGGAGUCGUGCGUGAAAGGUGGGGGCUCAACCCCCAGAGGCCGCACGAGACCCCCGGUCUUGGGCCCGGCAGGGGGCGGUGGAAUUCCACGAGGAGUGGUGAAAUGCGUUGAGACGUGGAGGAACACCGGUGGCGAAGGCGGCCGCCUGGGCCGUGGCCGACGCUGAGGCGCGAAAGCCAGGGGAGCGAACGGGAUUAGAUACCCCGGUAGUCCUGGCCGUAAACGAUGGACACUAGGUGCGGGGGGUAUCGACCCCCUCCGUGCCGGCGCUAACGCAGCAAGUGUCCCGCCUGGGGAGUACGGCCGCAAGGCUAAA
RNAcentral lists this ribosomal RNA (376 nucleotides) under uncultured bacterium. Its description in RNAcentral is "bacterial SSU rRNA". It matches the Rfam family "Bacterial small subunit ribosomal RNA", at positions 524 to 898 of the family's 1533-position model. The record is from RNAcentral.